CUCAGAAAUAAACCUACCGGAAAAACCCUCGAGUUAAUGCAGAAAGCAAAACUUUUCAAAGGUCAACUGAACAAGAAAUGAAUCCCUCCCAACUGUCACGGUAAACUUCCUCGUUCACAAAGGGAAAAGAUAUGUCAAGCCUUCCAAGAUUAUCAAGGAGAUGAUGUUGAUCGCACUUGUCCCAUUUCAUCCCCACUUACCAAAAGAUAUCCAUUU
Long non-coding RNA from Juglans microcarpa x Juglans regia, 216 nucleotides. RefSeq lists it as uncharacterized. Lineage: Eukaryota; Viridiplantae; Streptophyta; Magnoliopsida; Fagales; Juglandaceae. The transcript has 2 exons. The record is from RefSeq and is a predicted model, not a curated record.